AUCUGGGACAUAUAUCUUUUGAUAUCAUGAGCAAAAUGUUUCCUCAUGAAAUGUCUAAGGUGAAUAAGAGUAAUUUAAUGUGUGAUGCAUGUGAGUACGGGGAGCACACUAGAAGCUCAUAUGUGAGCAGGGGUUUAAGAAGUUUAUCACCUUUUAUAUUAAUCCAUUCAGAUGUGUCGACUUCCCCAGUCACUACUAUAAGUGGGGCAAGAUAUUUUGUUACCUUUAUUGAUUGUUAUUCUCGUAUGACAUGGGUGUAUUUAAUGAAGCAUAAAAGUGAGGUACUUGAA
This is a long non-coding RNA of Panicum virgatum (switchgrass), 290 nucleotides long. RefSeq lists it as uncharacterized. Lineage: Eukaryota; Viridiplantae; Streptophyta; Magnoliopsida; Poales; Poaceae. The transcript is spliced from 3 exons. The record is from RefSeq and is a predicted model, not a curated record.